CACAUUGGGACUGAGACACGGCCCAAACUCCUACGGGAGGCAGCAGUGGGGAAUAUUGCACAAUGGGGGAAACCCUGAUGCAGCGACGCCGCGUGAGCGAAGAAGUAUUUCGGUAUGUAAAGCUCUAUCAGCAGGGAAGAAAAUGACGGUACCUGACUAAGAAGCCCCGGCUAACUACGUGCCAGCAGCCGCGGUAAUACGUAGGGGGCAAGCGUUAUCCGGAUUUACUGGGUGUAAAGGGAGCGUAGACGGCGAGGCAAGUCUGAUGUGAAAACCCGGGGCUCAACCCCGUGACUGCAUUGGAAACUGUUUUGCUUGAGUGCCGGAGAGGUAAGCGGAAUUCCUAGUGUAGCGGUGAAAUGCGUAGAUAUUAGGAGGAACACCAGUGGCGAAGGCGGCUUACUGGACGGCAACUGACGUUGAGGCUCGAAAGCGUGGGGAGCAAACAGGAUUAGAUACCCUGGUAGUCCACGCCGUAAACGACGAAAGGUAGGUGUCGGGGAGCAAAGCUCUUCGGUG
Molecule: ribosomal RNA, 519 nt
Filed under: uncultured bacterium
Lineage: Bacteria
Description: bacterial SSU rRNA
Rfam family: Bacterial small subunit ribosomal RNA
Source: RNAcentral